Molecule: RNase P RNA, 381 nt
Filed under: Candidatus Magasanikbacteria bacterium RIFOXYC2_FULL_39_8
Lineage: Bacteria; Candidatus Magasanikiibacteriota
Also listed under: 1 other name
Description: RNase P RNA component class A
Rfam family: Bacterial RNase P class A
About the family: Ribonuclease P (RNase P) is a ubiquitous endoribonuclease, found in archaea, bacteria and eukarya as well as chloroplasts and mitochondria. Its best characterised activity is the generation of mature 5'-ends of tRNAs by cleaving the 5'-leader elements of precursor-tRNAs.
Source: RNAcentral
AUUUUAUGGAAGAUGAUCGCUCCGACGUCACGUCGGAGAGGAAAGUCCGAACUCUAAUUCGCUGAUGAGGCGAAGAAAGGUAGUGGAUAACGUCCACCCCUCGAGCUGUGAAGUUUCGGGGCGGGAAAGCGCCACAGAGACAAUACUACCCUGACGUAACGUUGGGGGAAAGGUGAAAAGUGUAUAGAAGUUUUUGAUCUCGAGUCAAAAGUUACUAUACUCUCCGUUCCGUGAGGAAUUGGAGUGGCAAGCCCUACCUGGAGAAAGAGCAGCGCGCCGAUGAGGCUGCGAAAAGUUAGCUCGUUUGAUCACGUAGAGUAAUUUACGUGGCAGAGAAAUGAUCAUCCUCGACAAAAUUCGGCUUAUAUCCAUAGAAUGAAU